This 250-nucleotide ribosomal RNA is filed under the name uncultured bacterium. Its description in RNAcentral is "partial 16S ribosomal RNA". It matches the Rfam family "Bacterial small subunit ribosomal RNA", at positions 524 to 772 of the family's 1533-position model. The record is from RNAcentral.
UACGUAGGGGGCGAGCGUUGUCCGAAUUUACUGGGCGUAAAGCGCGCGUAGGCGGUUUCUUAAGUCUGGGGUGAAAGGUUCAACGCUCAACGUGAACAGUGCCUUGGAUACUGGGAGACUUGAGUCUGGGAGGGGGUAGUGGAAUUCCUGGUGUAGCGGUGAAAUGCGUAGAUAUCAGGAGGAACACCGGUGGCGAAGGCGGCUACCUGGCCUAAGACUGACGCUGAGGUGCGAAAGCGUGGGGAGCGAA